Molecule: non-coding RNA, 103 nt
Organism: Trametes polyzona
Lineage: Eukaryota; Fungi; Basidiomycota; Agaricomycetes; Polyporales; Polyporaceae
Source: the annotation of a GenBank genome assembly
GCUUGGAUGGCUCAGUUGGUUAGAGCGCAGGUCUCAUACUUUCGUAUGACCACCGCGAUGGUGGGUAAUCCUGAGGUCGUGAGUUCGAUCCUCACUCCGAGCA